Long non-coding RNA from Oncorhynchus kisutch (coho salmon), 695 nucleotides. RefSeq lists it as uncharacterized. The transcript has 2 exons. NCBI's taxonomy places the organism in Eukaryota, Metazoa, Chordata, Actinopteri, Salmoniformes, Salmonidae. The record is from RefSeq and is a predicted model, not a curated record.
ACUCUUUCUCACUCUCUGUCUCUCGUUCUCUCUCUCAGUGCAACUGGCGAGGCUUCCAGCAGUAUCUUAUCACAGUCUAUGGACUUUUCCGUGCCAUUCCUGCCUACUCCGGAUUGAACGUGAACUAGACAACAAAACAACCUCCCGCGAGAACUCAGCUUUGGCCAGCGUAAGAGCAAAGGCCUGGGACAUGUUCAUUGGGCACCAAACAGCAAAAAAACUGACUGGAACAGGGAGGGACUACUGCGGCUUGUCCAGUAAGUAACACUUCAUUUCAUGUUCCAUUGCAAAGCAUUUUAAAACAUUUUCCAUUGUAUGCACUAACAAACGCAAGCUCUGCUAACCCUGUUCUUUCUCUGUGUGUACAUUGCAAUAAAUGAAGCAGUCUGAUUUAGGUUUGUCCAGUUUCACAACAUGGCAUAACCAAAGCCUCAGUGUUGACCACAGUGGGUGUUAAUCUCCACUACUACAACCAACACAUUCAAUAACCAGACCAGACCAGACUUACUGGAGUGAGUACAAAGGUCCUCUUGAGUUACUGAGAAACGGUUGCUGAAAAACAACACGAUUUUCCAACGGCAAUAAAUCUGGAGAGACAAAACUUAUCAACAGUUUGCAUUUGGGUAGAUGAAACCAUGACUUGAAAAAUAAAAAGCUCCAUUAGGCAUUGCCUUAGUGCACAUGUGUACUUUUCA